This 2897-nucleotide long non-coding RNA is filed under the name Danio rerio (zebrafish). RNAcentral's name for it is "lncRNA (ENSDARG00000117298.1)". The record is from RNAcentral. Lineage: Eukaryota; Metazoa; Chordata; Actinopteri; Cypriniformes; Danionidae.
GACGCAUUAAUACCACACGCACAUAAGAGCAUCGAGGCGGACUCUUCUGUCACAGCGAGAGACUGGGCGUGAAAAUGUUUAUCUGGGGCUUUGGGAUUAUCAAUGAGCAAAUUACCUCUGAUCCAGCAGAGGGUCUCAGGCAGACUGUGUGCUUCUGCCAGGCUCCCUCUCUAGGGCUUAUGGGAGGAUGGAAGAAAGCUGGGACACUUUAUUUUGAAGUAGCCUAUAUUCGUAAAGUCUCAUUAUUGAUUCUGGGUUUUCUUUUCUACUUGAUAUCAUGCCCCUCCCCUUUUUCUUUUGGAGUAGCAGAGUGAGUGUUUUGUUGGAGGCUGGUGGCUCACGCUGAAAGAGCCGGACUCCCAGGAGGAUUCCUCUCACUAGCAGCCCUUUCAUAGCUCAGCCCUGGGCGACUUUCCUCGAGCUGCACCCAUGACUCUCCAUACGCACACGCUGCAUGGAUAUGGACUCUAUUAUUUCUUGGCAUUGCUGACACUUUUCAUGUUGCAAGCCGACGGGCUGCAGUGUUAUGCUUGUAACAUUGUGCAUAACCAGAGGUAUGUGGACGUAGGCUGUUCCAGGCCCGAAAUCAUCACCUGCUCCCACUCCCACAAGGGCUUCAAGCAUCGCUUCUGCAUCAGAACUGAAAGUGUUGCUCUGGGAGUGAUGCUGACCAGCGGAUGCGCCACAGCUCGACACUGCCACACGGAGGAGCUACCGGGAGUGAACAUCCACUGCUGCGACUCUAAUCUAUGCAACAGCGCCACCAGCUGGCGGACAAACACACUGAUGCCUGUUUACUCAUUGACGUUUGCUCUGGUGCUGUACAAUGUGCUACUUUGGACGAAAUAACUGCGUGAGGAAAUAUAAAUCAAGCAAAUCAAAGAAGAAUCACGGCAGCUACGCUUCUGAUGCAAAGAGGAGACUUGGACAUAGUAUUAUAAACUCUUUGAAUACAGACAUUGGAGUAUUUUGUGUGGAUAAAAAGAACCUUCUUUAUGUGUUUCAUCUGAUCUUCAUGUUAAAGGAUAAUUUCUGGGAGCAAUCCUCAAAAUUUCUCUGUAAGUCUCAUAUGGAGUUUUUAUGGUCAACAAUAAAAACAUUGUUUUUUUUAAAAAAAUCUUUUGAUUAAUUUUAAUCAAAAGUAUUCAAUCAGCCAAAUAAUGUUUAAGUCUAUUCAUCGUUUAACUCAUUUUUUUAUUUGCAAUUUCUUUUAACCAGUGUGUUUAUUUUUGGUGGUGGUCCUGGAUGUACAAAGUAAUUUCUUAAAGGGAUAGUACUAAAAAUUAUGCUAAAAUGAAAACUUUGCCCUUAUUUACUCCUCACCAUGUUCCAAACCUGUUUGAGUUUCUUUCUUCUGUUGAGUACAAUGUGAGAUACACUACCUGAUAAAAGUCUUGUCACUGAUCCCAGAUGUAAGAGCAACAAAUGACUUCUAGUUAAUCAUUUGGAAAAGUGGCAGAGGGUAGAUUUUUCUGAUGAAUCAUUUGUUGAACUGCAUCCUAAUCAUCAAAAAAACCUAUUUGUACCUGCAUAGACCCAAUCUAUUCUCACAGAAAUGGUAAAAUAAGCAUAAUCUAGAGGCCUUUGCCUUUUAUAUAAGCCACUUCUGAUACCAAAUGAUCAACUAGAUGUCAAGUUAUUAAUUGUUGUUUCUAAAACUUAGAUAUUAGCAACAAGACAUUUGUCAGGUAGUGUACUGUAGGCUACUGAAGAAUGCUGGGGGAAAAGUAGCAUUUUUUUCCCCAUAGUAGGCCUAAUGUGUUUUGUGUUGAACGAUAUGUAAUUUUUUGGGUGAACUAUCCCUUUAAAUUAAUGCAGGUGUUCUGGUGGUGUAAUCAGGUUCAUCUGUGACUGUCAUCAAACAACCAAAAACCAGGAAAGUCUCAAUUUUCAAUAUUUCUAGAAAUAAUCUCACUGCUGUUUUAAAAUGCAAUUAUUUAGUACUUUAUAUUGUUUUUUUACUGUCUUCUGCUGCCCCUUUAAUGUUAUUUAAAUGUUUUAAGGUGUCUUGCUGAAUUUUGCGGGAAAAUUCAGGUUUAUAGCUUGUCUAAACGCACAAAAACAUACAGGCUAUCGAUUGAAUGCUGUUGAUUGUCAGCUUCCUCAAAUCUAACAAAUCUACAUGAGCAUUUAAUGACUUCUACGACAUUACAUAUGGUCAAAACAAUUUACUUCAACGUUGUAAAGUUAUGGGAAGCAACAGGGAACAACGCCAAUGAGCAGACCUGAAACUUACCUGCUCAUGACGUUUUUUUUUUUUUUUACAUGUUUUCCACACUUGUCAUCUAAAGAAGUCGUCUCCGCGCAUGCGUCUUAAAUUACACGCAUGUUCAUGUUAGGUCCGUGUAUCAUCCGUUCAUUUGAUUAUUCCUUUUAUUACGGAAAACGAAACAUCAGAAAAACGAUGAAUAUUUCGUUUUUCUGUUUAUUCUGUAGGCAGAAAAAACGGAAACUCAUCUGUUAUUCUGCUUAUUAACUUAAAACGAAAUAUUAAAACAAACACAAAACCAAAACGAAAUAAUGAGUCAAAAAAUGGUCCGUGUACGGUCCGUGUACAUUUUGUUCAUUUGUUUUCCAUUUUCAAACGGAAUAAAGGAAAUGGAGAAAACGGCCGUUUUUCCGUUUUUCUUUUGCUCACGAGAAAACGAAAAAACGAGAUUUUGGCUGGAUUUUCGUUUUUUGGUUUAGGGUAGGAAAACGGAUAAACGACUUUAAAAUUCAUUUUACACAUGUAGGCGGUGCUGAAACGCCCACUUUCCUCCAAUUGGUUAACCAAAUCUGCGCUCGUGACGUCACCCUCAAAAUAAAAGCCUUACACACAGGCUUUUAAUUAUUAUUAUUUAAUUAUAUAUUAACUAAGUUUACAUAUUCUAUCAUUUGAACCACACACAGUUAGC